Molecule: long non-coding RNA, 501 nt
Organism: Pectinophora gossypiella (pink bollworm)
Lineage: Eukaryota; Metazoa; Arthropoda; Insecta; Lepidoptera; Gelechiidae
Exons: 2
Source: RefSeq, a predicted model, not a curated record
UUAACAUUAUCGAAUGACGAUGGCAACUUAAAAAAGAUUAAGAUGACCAAAGACUAGGCUGUAUGGGUUAAGUUCCCUUUGCAUGCCUUAUGUUUUAAAGUGGUGUAUAGGCCACGUCAAUGAUAUUGAAAUGAUGUUCAGAUCUUCUGGGUUCAAAGUCCAACUUGGAUGUCUAUCUUCAAGGGCUACCUGGGGAUUUCCCCAUUAAGAUCAUGUUGUGUUUACACUCGGAGUAAUUGUCUUCUACAUCUACAUCAUGCUUUUCGUCUAGGACCUGCUAUCCAGCGGUUUGCUUCAUGAUUUUGCCUAAGACCUGCCGUCCAGGCACUUAAUAUAUCACUUUUUGGGUGAAACUUUAGCGUUUAAGUGGUUUGACUAAUCUUUGCUUGAUUGUAAUAACAGGAUUAUUCCUAAAUUUGUGUUAUCAUGAAAUAACCUAGACGUGCUAAACUCUUUCCUGUACUUAUAAGAAGAAGUAAUGUUAAUAUACAUUUUUUAAAA